GAUGAAGAACGUAGCGAAAUGCGAUAAGUAAUGUGAAUUGCAGAAUUCAGUGAAUCAUCGAAUCUUUGAACGCACAUUGCGCCCGCCAGUAUUCUGGCGGGCAUGCCUGUCUGAGCGUCAUUUCAACCCUCAUGCCCCUAGGGCGUGGUGUUGGGGAUCGGCCAAAGCCCGCGAGGGACGGCCGGCCCCUAAAUCUAGUGGCGGACCCGUCGUGGCCUCCUCUGCGAAGUAGUGAUAUUCCGCAUCGGAGAGCGACGAGCCCCUGCCGUUAAACCCCCAACUUUCCAAGGUUGACCUCAGAUCAGGUAGGAAUACCCGCUGAACUUAAGCAUAUCAAUAAGCGGGGA
RNAcentral lists this unclassified non-coding RNA (347 nucleotides) under soil metagenome. RNAcentral's name for it is "partial contains 5.8S ribosomal RNA, internal transcribed spacer 2, and large subunit ribosomal RNA". The stretch from base 1 to 120 matches the Rfam family "5.8S ribosomal RNA", at positions 35 to 154 of the family's 154-position model. The record is from RNAcentral.